GCAUAACUCAUUUAAGAGAAUCAAAUUUCAGCAGUUUGGAGUCAUUUGUACCCAAAAUGAAUGCAAAAAUAAAAUUCAAAACUCCAAAAUUAGUAAAGGUGGCAUUGUUGGAAAUUUGCUGACGUAACAGGAGUGAUGAUGUGGCACUAAUAUGUCAGGUGACGUGGCAGUGUUGGCAAGUGUUGUGGUGUAGAAGUGGCAAGCUAAUGUGGCAAGGUAGUAGUAGAUCAAGUGCAAAAAGCUCAUCGUAAGGCUGGUGAACUUGUCUUCUUACCCAAUGGGUUAUUUGACCUGACCCGUCGGUUUCUUGCUAUAGGUCUCCGAAUUAGAUUCCAAUGGCAAAAAACAGUAGGUUGGCUGAUGGCAAGUGGGUGGGAUGGCAAGAGGGUGGUGGGUCCUGGUGAAAGGGGAGGGCGAUGCCACUGGUGCUUUGUUUCUU
Molecule: unclassified non-coding RNA, 439 nt
Filed under: Hevea brasiliensis (rubber tree)
Lineage: Eukaryota; Viridiplantae; Streptophyta; Magnoliopsida; Malpighiales; Euphorbiaceae
Source: RNAcentral